Molecule: long non-coding RNA, 2816 nt
Organism: Pygocentrus nattereri (red-bellied piranha)
Lineage: Eukaryota; Metazoa; Chordata; Actinopteri; Characiformes; Serrasalmidae
Exons: 3
Source: RefSeq, a predicted model, not a curated record
UUCAGCUCUGCAAUUAGCUCUAGAGCCUGUCAUGCUCCCAGUAGUUAAAAUAGUAGUUGUAAUUUUGACCAUAUGUAAAUUAGGACUACAUGUUAUGUAUCAUAAUGCAAAUAAAGCAGAAGGCUGGCGCUUAUUACUCGCUCUUUCUGUACAGCUCGUUUUUCCUCUCAAUUUGGACUUGAUUGGGCCCUGCAGGAUUUAACCCCCCCCAAGUUCAACGCCCCAUUGGCCAAUUAUGUUUACGGAUCCCGCUGAAGGACAUUAGAGAUGGCCAAUGUUCAGCCACCUAUAAAUUAGCAUACCGGUUGCCUAGGAGACCGUAGUGGGGAAGCGUUUCGGUGACGUCAAUCUUCAUUGAUAGUCCAUUAUCGGCGAUAAUGACUUCCUCUCCGCCAACAGGGCUCGAUAAGGAGUCUGUUCAGCUCGGUGAGAGCAUGGAGGAGAAAGGAGGCAGAAAGGAGCUCACCGUCCUAACGCUGUCCGCGAGUUUUCACUGCCUUGGAAUUAUCCUCAACUCAGCUCCGGCAUAAAACAGCCACAAGACCUAAUCUUGAGCUUGCGCAUCGCUUGUGUAUCCAGUAAUGAGCAAUGAGCUGAAGCUACAGAAGCAGCGAAAAACAAUUCAUCCUCCGCUCCUCUCUUCCUGUGCUGUUGUUUUGUUUUCUCCGGCAGGGUCUUUGAUGUCAUAUCCUCUUACAUUUUGCUCUCCCCCUCCUCCCCAGCAGCCAUGUUUUCAAAGAAACAUCCAGCAGAAAACACUCUCUGCAUUUGAAAUGUAGAUUGCUCGCACUCCCGCCAUUCUGCAUACAGCACAUGCCCUUUUCCAUUCUCCCUCUUUCUUCCCUCGUUCCAGGAGUAGGCUUUUCCCCGACAAUUCAUCUGAUACAUUUGAAUGGCUUCCCCAUCAAGGCCUUUGUGUUUUGGGUGUCAUGUAUAAUCUGUGGCAAAAGCGAUGCAGAAGAGGCUUCAUCCUCCAUUUGCUCUCCAUCCGGGUGAUGUCAUAGCAAUUCUGAAUGUAUGCAAUGUGUUUUCUGUGAUGGAGAGAUAAUGUAUUAAUGUAUUAAUCUCUAUGUAUUAACUCUUAUGAAGCUAAUAUGUAAGUUAUGUAUUUAUGAGAGUUUGGCAAGAAGUUAGCACUAAAAAAAAAAGAAAUCGAAGUAGUUAUUAAGAUUCAUGAAUCAAAUAUACAACAUGAACAUAAUUAUAGCCAAACAAAUAGAAAUUCAAAAUUGUGUGGCUGUAAUAUAUUUUAUUCAUGUGCCAGUGAUGUUCAUAUUUGAAUCAAGUAAAUUCACUUUUUUCAGUGUUUAAGUGUUGCUAUGAGUUAACUUUGCAUUUCUAAUCAAACAUUUCUAGAUCCUUGCACAUGCAGCCAUGUAGAAUCUGUGAAGUUCUGCCUUUUAACCCUUAAACUACUUAUAAGGCUUCUUAUUCAGUUAUUAAUCUUAGGACUGUGCCCUUUGUGUAACUACUUUGAAUUAUUUGGCAACUACUAUGAAACUAUUAUUAUAUAUUCUGUACUUCAAAAUGGUUGAUCAGUGUCGGAUUAUGGGCCAUACUGGGGCAUCACUGCAUUGAGAAGAAGCUUUGAGUUGAUGUAGUGCAGAUUCUCUCUCUCUCUCUCUCUCUCUCUCUCUCUCUCUCUCUCUCUCUCUCUCUCUCCCUCUCCCUGUCUGUAAUGCUUCACACCUGUCCAAGCUUUGGAGAGGAUUCUGCCUCAGGUACCCGUCUUACUGGUUCGCUGUCCUCGAAAGACUCUCAGGUAUUUCCCAAGUGUGUGUAUGUGUGUACAUAUUUCACAUCCCCCUCUCUACCACCUGACUUUGGGUGCUUGGGGCCCUGCUGUUAUUUACCAGUGAUCUGCUCCCCUAAUCCUCUGCUCUGUGGCUGAAGGGUGUAUUUCACUGUGGCAUGCCUGAUGUCUACGGGCGCGCUCACCUUUCACUUCCCAUGAACAUCUGUGACCCAGAGAAACGUAGUUCCACCCUGCUAACGCAAACAGAGCGGGGAGAUCAAAGGCAGGCUGAGCUCACCUGUGCUCCAGGAGAGAAAGCUUCUUAAACCGUCACAUGACCCGUAAACAGGAACAAAUCAACAUGUCUGCUCCCGAAUGCCUUCAGUCACUCACAGCUUUUUGGAUGUCUGUCAUGACAGUGGAAUUACACAAGAAAAGGAGAACUGAAGGCAAACAUAGAAGGAAAACACCAUUGUUUUAACUUGUUUGUUGAACUCUUUAACCUUUUUAUCUUCAUCCUUUAAUUACUAGAAAGGACGAACUUGUGGCUACUGGCUGUUGCAUAUUAUUAGAGACUGUUUUUACAGCAAAUUUAAGAGUUUAAAAAUGACAUGUAUUAUCUUAUAUGCUAUAUCUUUAUUGGCCCCAAAUGUAUUUGGACACAUUACAUUAUUGUUUGACUUUAAUCAAGUUAUUUAGAUUAGUUCAUAAAAUAUUUAACAAAUGGAUAUUUGCUGCUAAGAAUGACACAUCAUUAUCAACAAAUAGUAGAUUCUUUGCAUGGAGAAAACCCAGAGAAUUCCAGCCAGACGGCACUAAGGGCAUUGGGAAGCACAGAGGUGGAAUUUUUCUGUUUUUCUUGCAGUGGUGUCAGUGAGCUUCUGUUCAUUGACAAGAUCAUUAAAUUAAAAGUGUAAAAAAUGCAUUUUAGUAGGAGACAUGUGGAAGAACAGAAAGCAAAGAAAGAGCUCAAACACUAACAAUCUGAAGCACAUCAUCUGCUUUUUGAAGGAAUACUUUUGUGAAAAGUAAAUGACAUUCUUGGAAAUGAUCCGUUUAAAAUAAAUGCCACUUGGUUUUA